Molecule: ribosomal RNA, 309 nt
Filed under: uncultured bacterium
Lineage: Bacteria
Description: bacterial SSU rRNA
Rfam family: Bacterial small subunit ribosomal RNA
Source: RNAcentral
CUUCGGUUGUGAKUACUUGGCGCAGGGGUGAGUAAUGUAUAGGUAAUCUGCCCUUUGGACUGGAAUAACCCCGAGAAAUCGGGGACAAUACCARAUGAUGCAGCGGAACCGCAKGGUUAUGUUGUUAAAGAUUUAUCGCCAAAGGAUGAACCUAUAUCCCAUCAGGUAGUUGGCAGGGUUAUAGCCUACCAAGCCUACRACGGGUAGCUGGUCUGAGAGGAUGAUCAGCCACAUUGGAACUGAGACACGGUCCARACUCCUACGGGAGGCAGCAGUGAGGAAUAUUGCGCAAUGGGCGAAAGCCUGACG